CGGCGGUGGCAGGGUCGCGGACGCCGCCCCAUCGCGGCGAGGAGCCGAGCUGACGCAAGCCUGUCAGCGUCUGCACCCUCGGAGGACGCGUCAAGGUGCCGGCCGGCGGCAGAUGGCCGACUACACUCUCCAUCAGAGCACUCUCCAAGGUACCGGCCGGCGGCAGAUGGCCGACUACACUCUCCAUCAGAGCACUCUCCAAAGCGGAGGUCUGCAGCCCAACAGUCGACGCGUCUCCGCGGUGGACCCCCCAGCGAUCAGGUGCGCAUCACACCGUACCUGAUUAUCACGACACUGUUGCUGAUGGGAGUAGGUCUCGUCUUAUACCACCUCUACAGUGACGCCACCGGCUCAAGAUGGCGGUUUGCUUACUAGCGGCGACUCAAAAAAGUACUUUUCAGUAUAGGGACGUCCAGGAUCCGUGCUGGCAGAAAAGGCACGUGUUCCUCGGCCCGAACCGUCACUGUGUGCGGUGCAGGAUGCGGCGUCGUGUUGAUUUGCUGUGCUUCAUCUUUUGUG
Long non-coding RNA from Pollicipes pollicipes, 519 nucleotides. RefSeq lists it as uncharacterized. The record is from RefSeq and is a predicted model, not a curated record. NCBI's taxonomy places the organism in Eukaryota, Metazoa, Arthropoda, Thecostraca, Pollicipedomorpha, Pollicipedidae. The transcript has 3 exons.